GAGAACCGCGAUAGGCAGGAGGGUUAGCCAGCUGCACUCUUCGUCUCGCUAGUGAGGGGUCCUAGGUGUAUGAAGUCUCGUUUUCGCGAGCCGUGUAGUUCACCCGCUGGUACCGCCGGGGCCACCGAGAGUGGUAUAAGGACGACUAGGAGGAGGGUCGCGUGGUACGAGAGCGGUGCCGCCGGCCGCUGCACGUGGGUCCGAUGCGCCUGCGCCUCUGGCUGUGGACGCCCGGCCGCGACCUGGACCCGCCGAGGAGGAGGAGGAGGAGGAGACGGCGUCCGCGCCGGCCAGCCGCAAUGCCGGGCCCCGACCUCCUCAUGCCGCCGCCCGCGUAGCACCUGUAGUGCGUGCGCAAGGCCGGACCGUACGGCCGCAUGCGCGGCCCGCGCUGCCACCCCGGGUAGCACGCCGAGUUCCUCAGCUACCUCUUGCCCAGUCUGAUGUUGAACAGCCUCGAGUCGUACCUCACGGUGUAUCCUUGGGUGCACCUGCGCGGCCCCGUGAAAUUGGUCCGGGUGAAGCGGCGGCCGGAGCUGCAGCUGUGCGAGCUGGAGCUUCAGGAGUUGCGACUUCGUUACCUUAGGGAUUUAUAUGGGUUUCCACAAGCAGCUCAAGAGAAGUCCUGUAACUUGUGUCUGUACCCUGAGUACACCUUCCUUCCUCCACUAUACUCAAUGCAACCUAAAUGCCGCCUACCACGGGUCACCGAACAACUGUUGUGGCUGUAGUUCGAUCAACCAGACCUGAUAAAUAGACAACGUAGCAAACUAGUGCGUGCGAGACGGGUACACCGGAAGAAUUUUUUACGCCUAUAGUAUAAUCAACUUGUAGACUUCGAUCUUAUGCAGCUCUGGCCUAAUAUGUGCAACGUGACGAAUGGAGAUUCUAACCAACCUAGACUGCCAAGUGGUUAGUCCACGUAAGAAUAGUUCACUAGUGUAGAAGAGCUUCCGGUGUUAGAUAGCACAGACAACUACGAUGUAUAUGUGAGGUGGAUACAUUAAACUUACAACGUAUAGUACAUUUAUACAAAACAUGAUAGUUAUUUCAUAAGGUUUGCUGUUGUUUUCAUAUCGUAAUGAUGUUUGUUCAGUGUCCACGUUGUGGUUGUAACGUACAUGUUAUUAAGAUAAAUAAAGAUAUCAACGUACAGAUUUGAAUGUAAUGAGAAUACGG
RNAcentral lists this ribosomal RNA (1179 nucleotides) under Triticum aestivum (bread wheat). RNAcentral describes it as "partial small subunit ribosomal RNA". Lineage: Eukaryota; Viridiplantae; Streptophyta; Magnoliopsida; Poales; Poaceae. The record is from RNAcentral.